GAUGAACGCUGACAGAAUGCUUAACACAUGCAAGUCUUGGCGAAGCUGUGCUUGCACAGCCUAGCCAAGGCGGACGGGUGAGUAACGCGUAAGGGACUUGCCCUGCAGUCAGGGAUAACAGAUGGAAACGACUGAUAAGACCUGGUAAAGUCAGGCGGACUCAUGUCCAGCCUGAUGAAAAGGAAUGCUGCAGGAGAGCCUUGCGUCCUAUUAGCUUGUUGGUGGGGUAACGGCCCACCAAGGCGAUGAUAGGUAGCCGGCCUGAGAGGGUGGACGGCCACAAGGGGACUGAGAUACGGCCCUUACUCCUACGGGAGGCAGCAGUGGGGAAUAUUGGACAAUGGGGGCAACCCUGAUCCAGCAAUUCUGUGUGCACGAAGACGGUUUUCGGAUUGUAAAGUGCUUCCAGCAGGGAAGAAGGAAGUGACGGUACCUGCAGAAGAAGCGACGGCUAAAUACGUGCCAGCAGCCGCGGUAAUACGUAUGUCGCGAGCGUUAUCCGGAAUUAUUGGGCAUAAAGGGCAUCUAGGCGGCCUUUCAAGUCAGGGGUGAAAACCUGCGGCUCAACCGCAGGCCUGCCUUUGAAACUGAUAGGCUGGAGUACCGGAGAGGUGGACGGAACUGCACGAGUAGAGGUGAAAUUCGUAGGUAUGUGCAGGAAUGCCGAUGAUGAAGAUAGUUCACUGGACGGUAACUGACGCUGAAGUGCGAAAGCCGGGGGAGCAAACAGG
This 731-nucleotide ribosomal RNA is filed under the name uncultured Leptotrichia sp. RNAcentral's name for it is "bacterial SSU rRNA". It matches the Rfam family "Bacterial small subunit ribosomal RNA", at positions 28 to 776 of the family's 1533-position model. The record is from RNAcentral. Lineage: Bacteria; Fusobacteriati; Fusobacteriota; Fusobacteriia; Fusobacteriales; Leptotrichiaceae.